Lemur catta (Ring-tailed lemur) is the source of this 545-nucleotide long non-coding RNA. RefSeq lists it as uncharacterized. The transcript has 4 exons. The record is from RefSeq and is a predicted model, not a curated record. Lineage: Eukaryota; Metazoa; Chordata; Mammalia; Primates; Lemuridae.
CAGAUGUCUUGCCCUCAUUGCCAGUAAGUUUUGCCGGUGUCGCAUUCUCAGACUGGAACAAGGAGGAGGGAAAAUCCUCAGUCCGGGCACGUGUUCUAUAUCAAUUGGAUGACUCUGAAGGAAAAAAUGUAACCUGUCACUCUAAUCCAGAGACACUCUGGCUGGCGGUUUUUCUCAUCCGCUAUCUUCCACUACAAGUAAAUUUUUGUCGUUUAUAAGUCACCCAGUCUACACCCAGUCUAUGGUAUUCAGUCAUAGCUUGACUGGCCUAAGAUACCUGGCCUUCUGCAAUAUGUGGGAAAGGAUCAUUCAUAAGACUGUCAACCAAGAAAGGUAGACCUGCCAGUGAAAUGAAAUUUCCCUAAGGUGUUUGGUGGAAUCUAGGAGACUUAGAGGAAUCAGAUGAGGAAUGGCUGAUUUAGCGUGAUUCAUCUUUUCACGGUUUCUAUUGUGAAAGUCAGUGGAGGAGACUGUGCAGAGUCUACUGGAAAAGACUUUUCCCGUAAGUACUUGGGAGCGCGCUGUCAAUAUUUGCUGCCGUAUCU